RNAcentral lists this transfer RNA (84 nucleotides) under Felis catus (domestic cat). It matches the Rfam family "tRNA". From Rfam's summary of the family: Transfer RNA (tRNA) molecules are approximately 80 nucleotides in length. Their secondary structure includes four short double-helical elements and three loops (D, anti-codon, and T loops). The record is from Rfam by way of RNAcentral. Lineage: Eukaryota; Metazoa; Chordata; Mammalia; Carnivora; Felidae.
GCCUGGGUGGCUCAGUCGGUUGAGCGUCCGACUUCAGCUCAGGUCAUGAUCUCACGGCUCGUGGGUUUGAGCCCACGUCGGGCU